UGCCAGCAGCCGCGGUAAUACGGAGGGUGCGAGGGUUAAUCGGGAUAGCUGGGCGUAAAGCGCAUGCAGGCGGUCUGUUAAGCAAGAUGUGAAAGCCCGGGGCUCAACCUCGGAACAGCAUUUUGAACUGGCAGACUAGAGUCCUGUAGAGGGGGGUAGAAUUUCAGGUGUAGCGGUGAAAUGCGUAGAGAUCUGAAGGAAUACCGGUGGCGAAGGCGGCCCCCUGGACAAAGACUGACGCUCAGAUGCCAAAGCGUGGGGAGCAAACAGGAUUAGAUA
RNAcentral lists this ribosomal RNA (279 nucleotides) under uncultured bacterium. RNAcentral's name for it is "partial 16S ribosomal RNA". It matches the Rfam family "Bacterial small subunit ribosomal RNA", at positions 506 to 784 of the family's 1533-position model. The record is from RNAcentral.